CGGCCAGCGGCCAUGGCAGGGGAGGCACACCCGGUCCCAUCCCGAACCCGGAAGUUAAGCCCCCGAGCGCCGAUUGUACUGCGGGUAGAGCCCGUGGGAGACCAGGACGCCGCUGGCCGA
This 120-nucleotide ribosomal RNA is filed under the name bacterium OL-1. The record is from RNAcentral.